This 120-nucleotide small nucleolar RNA is filed under the name Echinops telfairi (small Madagascar hedgehog). RNAcentral describes it as "Small nucleolar RNA SNORA61 (ENSETEG00000026944.1)". The record is from RNAcentral. Lineage: Eukaryota; Metazoa; Chordata; Mammalia; Afrosoricida; Tenrecidae.
ACCCUCCGGUUCCCUUGCCCAUCAAAUAUAAACACUGGUCUGCGUGGUUACAAAAGAAAGGAAAGGGAAAGGGGAAAGGGCGUCAGUGCUCUGUGGCUCACGGGCUAGUUUCAAACAAGC